RNAcentral lists this ribosomal RNA (429 nucleotides) under Gemmatimonadota bacterium. RNAcentral describes it as "Gemmatimonadetes bacterium partial 16S ribosomal RNA". It matches the Rfam family "Bacterial small subunit ribosomal RNA", at positions 355 to 776 of the family's 1533-position model. The record is from RNAcentral. Lineage: Bacteria; Pseudomonadati; Gemmatimonadota.
UAGGGAAUCUUCGGCAAUGGACGAAAGUCUGACCGAGCAACGCCGCGUGUGUGAAGAAGGUUUUCGGUUCGUAAAACUCUGUUGUUAGAGAAGAACAAGGACGUUAGUAACUGAACGUCCCCUGACGGUAUCUAACCAGAAAGCCACGGCUAACUACGUGUCAGCAGCCGCGGUAAUACGUAGGUGGCAAGCGUUGUGCGGAUUUAUUGGGCGUAAAGCGAGCGCAGGCGGUUUCUUAAGUCUGAUGUGAAAGCCCCCGGCUCAAUCGGGGAGGGUCAUUGGAAACUGGGUGACUUGAGGGCGGAAGAGGAGAGAGGAAGUCCAUGUGUAGCAGUGAAAUGCGUAGAUAUAUGGAGGAACGCCUGUGGCGAAGGCUGCUCUCUGAUCUGUAACAGACGCUUGGGCACGAAAGCGUGGGGAGCAAACAGG